AGAGAACUUUGUGGAGGUGCCUAGGCGGUGGACUCUCGCCUGUCUUCUCUGUGGGAUCCACGGGAUAGUCCCAUGAUCCUAGGAGAGGGCAGACGUGAGCCAGCCUGAAGAAACGCCAAGCAGGAGCCCCAGGAAUAAACCGCAAAAUCCCUAAGGAUCCAAAAGGAUCUGCAGGAUGCCUCAGGCCUGCCUAGUCAUCGUAGGGAUAUGGACACUAUUGAUGGGAGCGGCUGGCCAUCUGGAGUGGCAGUUGCCAUCAUGCCAGUAGCGCUUGGGCCGCAUGGGCAGUGUUGUCAGGAGCAGCAGCAGGAGCAGCAGUGGCGGUGGUAGGACCCCG
Molecule: long non-coding RNA, 337 nt
Filed under: Homo sapiens (human)
Lineage: Eukaryota; Metazoa; Chordata; Mammalia; Primates; Hominidae
Description: HSALNT0389096
Source: RNAcentral